GACGAACGCUGGCGGCAUGCCUAAUACAUGCAAGUCGAGCGGAGUGGAUGAGAAGCUUGCUUCUCUGACGCUUAGCGGCGGACGGGUGAGUAACACGUAGGCAACCUGCCUUUCAGUUUGGGAUAACUUCCGGAAACGGAUGCUAAUACCGAAUACAUCAUCUUCUGGCAUCAGAGAAUGAGGAAAGACGGCCCAAGCUGUCACGGGUAGAUGGGCCUGCGGCGCAUUAGCUAGUUGGUGGGGUAAUGGCCCACCAAGGCGACGAUGCGUAGCCGACCUGAGAGGGUGAACGGCCACACUGGGACUGAGACACGGCCCAGGCUCCUACGGGAGGCAGCAGUAGGGAAUCUUCCACAAUGGGCGAAAGCCUGAUGGAGCAAUGCCGCGUGAGUGAUGAAGGUUUUCGGAUCGUAAAGCUCUGUUGCCAGGGAAGAACGUCCGGGUGAGUAACUGCACCCGGAGUGACGGUACCUGAGAAGAAAGCCCCGGCUAACUACGUGCCAGCAGCCGCCGUAA
RNAcentral lists this ribosomal RNA (516 nucleotides) under uncultured bacterium. RNAcentral describes it as "partial 16S ribosomal RNA". It matches the Rfam family "Bacterial small subunit ribosomal RNA", at positions 28 to 523 of the family's 1533-position model. The record is from RNAcentral.